UUCAGAAUGUAAGUCAUUCUACCAUUUCCCAUAGUCAUAUUGAUGUUAAUGAAUCUAGACAUAUAUAUCUAUCUUGAUUCAUUAACAUCAAUAUGAAGAAAUGCUAGAAAGACUUACAUUGUGAA
This 125-nucleotide unclassified non-coding RNA is filed under the name Oryza sativa (Asian cultivated rice). RNAcentral's name for it is "partial microRNA MIR472l precursor". Lineage: Eukaryota; Viridiplantae; Streptophyta; Magnoliopsida; Poales; Poaceae. The record is from RNAcentral.